Molecule: non-coding RNA, 28 nt
Organism: Oryzias latipes (Japanese medaka)
Lineage: Eukaryota; Metazoa; Chordata; Actinopteri; Beloniformes; Adrianichthyidae
Source: Rfam
AAACCUCUGACAAUAAGUGUGGAUGUUU